CAGUCGCCGCGGUAAGACGGAGGAUGCAAGCGUUAUCCGGAAUGAUUGGGCGUAAAGCGUCUGUAGGUGGGUUGUAAAGUCUUCUGUUAAAGAUCGGGGCUUAACCCAGUUUAAGCAGUGGAAACUUAUAACCUAGAGUACGGUAGGGGCAGAGGGAAUUCCCGGUGUAGCGGUGAAAUGCGUAGAUAUCGGGAAGAACACCGACGGCAAAAGCACUCUGCUGGGCCGAAACUGACACUGAGAGACGAAAGCUAGGGGAGCAAAAAGGAUUAGAUACCCCUGUAGUCCCUGUCUCUUAUAC
RNAcentral lists this ribosomal RNA (301 nucleotides) under uncultured bacterium. RNAcentral's name for it is "partial 16S ribosomal RNA". It matches the Rfam family "Bacterial small subunit ribosomal RNA", at positions 509 to 807 of the family's 1533-position model. The record is from RNAcentral.